RNAcentral lists this ribosomal RNA (69 nucleotides) under Escherichia coli. RNAcentral describes it as "partial 23S ribosomal RNA". Lineage: Bacteria; Pseudomonadati; Pseudomonadota; Gammaproteobacteria; Enterobacterales; Enterobacteriaceae. The record is from RNAcentral.
GUAAGCGCAGCCAUGCGUUGAGCUAACCGGUACUAAUGAACCGUGAGGCUUAACCUUACAACGCCGAAG